This 107-nucleotide small nuclear RNA is filed under the name Sciurus vulgaris (Eurasian red squirrel). Lineage: Eukaryota; Metazoa; Chordata; Mammalia; Rodentia; Sciuridae. The record is from RNAcentral.
GUGCUCACUUUGGCAGCAAAUAUAUUAAAAUUGGAAAGAUACAGAGAAGAUUAGCAUGGCCCGCGGGGAAGGGUAACAUGCAAAUUUGUGAAGUGUUCCAUAUUUAU